RNAcentral lists this ribosomal RNA (497 nucleotides) under uncultured bacterium. RNAcentral's name for it is "partial 16S ribosomal RNA". It matches the Rfam family "Bacterial small subunit ribosomal RNA", at positions 28 to 507 of the family's 1533-position model. The record is from RNAcentral.
GAUGAACGCUGGCGGCGUGCCUAAUACAUGCAAGUCGAGCGAACAGACGAGGAGCUUGCUCCUCUGACGUUAGCGGCGGACGGGUGAGUAACACGUGGAUAACCUACCUAUAAGACUGGGAUAACUUCGGGAAACCGGAGCUAAUACCGGAUAAUAUAUUGAACCGCAUGGUUCAAUAGUGAAAGACGGUUUUGCUGUCACUUAUAGAUGGAUCCGCGCCGCAUUAGCUAGUUGGUAGGGUAACGGCCUACCAAGGCAACGAGGCGUAGCCGACCUGAGAGGGUGAUCGGCCACACGGGAGCGGAGACGCGGUCCAGACGCCUACGGGAGGCAGCAGUAGGGAAUCUUCCGCAGUGGGCGAAAGCCUGACGGAGCAGCGCCGCGUGAGUGAUGAAGGUCUUCGGAUCGUAAAACUCUGUUAUUAGUGAAGAACAAAUGUGUAAGUAACUAUGCACGUCUUGACGGUACCUAAUCAGAAAGCCACGGCUAACUACGUG